GGUGCAAAUGACGGGAGUCAGAAAAACUAAGUAAAAGAGAACAAAUAUUAUUAGUCACAAAUACAAUGUUUGAGAGUGUCAUGUUUGUUUUUAUGCUUACAGGAAGAUUUAUAUUCAUCUGAACUGAAAUGUUGAUCAACACACAAAGGAAUGCUGACUUACUCCAGGUGGAGGAUCUGUGUGUGUAUAUAGACUUCAGCUGGCAUUUGAAGUAUCUCAUGAAACGGGUUCUAGUCUAUGAAACUUUAUACCACAAUAACACAUUGUGUAAGGUCAACCUGGAAACGAAGAAAAGAAGAGUAUGACCAUAAUUCCCUGACUACAAAUUAUAAAUCCCUUUAUCCUUAAGAAAACAUUUUAAAAAGGCUUUUUCCAUAGCCUUGAAACACAUACACACAUCUUUUUCUCUGUUGAAUUAAUGACCAUGUCUGAAUCUAGCCACUGCAUACUGUCAUGCAAAAAGUUGUCAUAUGGUUAUUCUCUUACCUGAUAAUGAGUAAAUUGUUGAACAAAUGUUUUCAGAAACCUUUUUGGCCAGUCACUAAUAUAGCACAUGACUAUUUAAUUAGAAAUUAUUGGCUAGUUACAUUUGGGCUUCAGCAGCUUUAAACUAGAGACAUCAGCAUCCUCCUCAUGAUACAAUGCCGUGAAAUGGAUUACUCCUUUUAGCUCUGAUGCCUUGACAUAGCUCUCUGCUAGGCUGUUAUUCUUUCUUCACUCUCUGUCACACCACUUAAACUUGUAUCAGGUUGCAAGACUUUCACUUUGCUAACUGUUCUAAAAUAAAUAAAUAAAACUGCAGUCUGUAUA
Molecule: long non-coding RNA, 810 nt
Organism: Anolis carolinensis (green anole)
Lineage: Eukaryota; Metazoa; Chordata; Lepidosauria; Squamata; Anolidae
Exons: 3
Source: RefSeq, a predicted model, not a curated record